This 624-nucleotide ribosomal RNA is filed under the name uncultured bacterium. RNAcentral's name for it is "bacterial SSU rRNA". It matches the Rfam family "Bacterial small subunit ribosomal RNA", at positions 338 to 953 of the family's 1533-position model. The record is from RNAcentral.
CCUACGGGAGGCAGCAGUGGGGAAUUUUGGACAAUGGACGCAAGUCUGAUCCAGCCAUGCCGCGUGCGGGAAGAAGGCCUUCGGGUUGUAAACCGCUUUUGUCAGGGAAGAAAUCUUCUGAAUUAAUACUUCGGGAGGAUGACGGUACCUGAAGAAUAAGCACCGGCUAACUACGUGCCAGCAGCCGCGGUAAUACGUAGGGUGCAAGCGUUAAUCGGAAUUACUGGGCGUAAAGCGUGCGCAGGCGGUUAUGCAAGACAGGUGUGAAAUCCCCGAGCUCAACUUGGGAACUGCACUUGUGACUGCAUAGCUAGAGUACGGUAGAGGGGAGUGGAAUUCCGCGUGUAGCAGUGAAAUGCGUAGAUAUGCGGAGGAACACCGAUGGCGAAGGCAGCUCCCUGGACCUGUACUGACGCUCAUGCACGAAAGCGUGGGGAGCAAACAGGAUUAGAUACCCUGGUAGUCCACGCCCUAAACGAUGUCAACUGGUUNUUGGGAGGGUUUCUUCGGUCAGUAACGUAGCUAACGCGUGAAGUUGACCGCCUGGGGAAGUAGGCCGCAAGGUUGAUUACCUUAAAGGAGUUAUUAGCCGNGNGAGAGCGACGAGACGACGAGGAGGAGGAG